Molecule: ribosomal RNA, 253 nt
Filed under: uncultured bacterium
Lineage: Bacteria
Description: partial 16S ribosomal RNA
Rfam family: Bacterial small subunit ribosomal RNA
Source: RNAcentral
UACGUAGGGGGCAAGCGUUGUCCGGAAUCAUUGGGCGUAAAGGGCUCGUAGGUGGCCAACUAAGUCAGACGUGAAAUCCCUCAGCUUAACUGGGGAACUGCGUCUGAUGCUGGAUGGCUUGAGUUUGGGAGAGGGAUGCGGAAUUCCAGGUGUAGCGGUGAAAUGCGUAGAUAUCUGGAGGAACACCGGUGGCGAAGGCGGCAUCCUGGACCAACACUGACACUGAGGAGCGAAAGCCAGGGGAGCAAACGGG